RNAcentral lists this ribosomal RNA (717 nucleotides) under bacterium NTN24. Its description in RNAcentral is "partial 16S ribosomal RNA". It matches the Rfam family "Bacterial small subunit ribosomal RNA", at positions 75 to 741 of the family's 1533-position model. The record is from RNAcentral.
CUUGCUUCUUUGCUGACGAUUGGCGGACGGGUGAGUAAUGUCUGGGAAACUGCCUGAUGGAGGGGGAUAACUACUGGAAACGGUAGCUAAUACCGCAUAAUGUCGCAAGACCAAAGAGGGGGACCUUCGGGCCUCUUGCCAUCAGAUGUGCCCAGAUGGGAUUAGCUUGUUGGUGGGGUAACGGCUCACCAAGGCGACGAUCCCUAGCUGGUCUGAGAGGAUGACCAGCCACACUGGAACUGAGACACGGUUCCAAACUCCAUACGGGAGGCAGCAGUGGGGAAUAUUGCACAAUGGGCGCAAGCCUGAUGCACCAUGCCGCGUGUAUUAAGAAGGGCUUCGGGUUGUAAAGUACUUUCAGCGGGGAGGAAGGCGAUACGGCUAAUAACCGUGUCGAUUGACGUUCCCCGCAGAAAAAACACCGCGCUAACUCCCUGCCACCAACCGCGGUUAUUCGGAGGGUGCAAGCGUUAAUCCGGAAUUACUGGGCGUUUAAGCGCACGCAGGCGGCUGUCAAAUCGGAUUUAAUCCCCGGGCCACACCGGGAAACUGCAUUCUAAAACAUUGGGAGGGCUUUAAAUUUUUUUGUAAAAGGGGGGGGUAAAAUUUCCCNGGUGUUUGGUAAAAAUGGGUAUAUAAAAUUUGGAAAGGAAUAAUCCGGGNGUGGAAAAAGGGGGCCCCCUGGGACAAAAAAAAGAACUCAGUGUAAAAACUGGG